AGUAAGUAUGUUCAGUAGCUAGAAUAUAAUUAUCUAAAAUGUCCAAAUAAGCAGAGAACAGAAGGGAAUAUAUUAAUCCAAAUGAAGAUAGGAAAAGUAGAGGAGGAUGUCAAAGGAAAAGUAUGGUAAACUGAAAACAUGUAAAAAUAAUUAUAACAACAAUCAACAUUGUUUUAGAUACCAAUAUGAACACUUUACAUUUAUUUAUUCUUUCUACACUAAUAUCCCUCUGAAGUGUAGGUACUGUUAUUAUCCUCAUUUUAUAAAUGAGAAAAUUAAGGUACAAGGAAAUUGGCCAAUGUCACACAAUUAAUUACUGAUCAAGCCAGAAUUUGAGCCUGGGUAUUCUGGCACAAGACUAGUUCAAAAUAAGUACACUAUAUAAUUUAAUACAGUAAAUGUAAGCAAAUUAAGCUAACCUAUAAAACUUCAAAGAUUAUUCAAAUGGGAAAACAAAAUUUAGCUGUAUAAUACUUUCAAGAGGCAUACCCAAUGCAAAAUCACACAGGAAGUUUGCAAAUUACAGGGAUGGAAAAAGAGAUACCCAAUGGUAUUAACCAAAGAAAAUUAGUACUAUGAUAUGGUUAUCAGACAAGAUAGAAUUUAGGGGGAGAAAUAAAGUAUUAGAAGGUCUGUUAUAUAAUCUUUCAAAGAAACAGUUCACCAAGAUGAAAUGCUAUUCAUGAGCUUCUCUUGCCUGAUUGGCUGAAGUUUCAAGGAGUAUGUUGAAUAUGAGUGGUGAGUGGGCAUCCUUCUCUUGGUCCUGUUUUUAGAGGAAAUACUUUAAGUUUUUCUCUGUUUAGUAUGAUGAUGGCCUUGGGUUUGUCAUAUAUAGCCAAUAUAAUGUUAAAGUAAGUUCCUUCUAUCUUUAGCUUCUGUAGUGUUUUAAAGAUAAUGGGCAUUAGGCUUUGUCAAAUGUUUUUUCUGUGUCUAUUGAGAUAAUCAUGUGAUUCUUGUCCAUAACUCUAUGUGGUAAAUUAUAUUUAUUGAUUUGCAUAUGUUGAACCAACCUUGCAUGACUGGUAUGAGAACAACUUGAUCUUGGUGCAGUAUCCUUUUAAUGUGUUUUUCUGUGUGAUUUGCCAAUAUUUUAUUAAGACUUUUAUAUUUAUCAAGGAUAUUGGCCAGAAGUUUGCUUUCCUUAAUGUGUUGUUGUCUGGUGGGAAUUUUUUAAAUUGAGGGAAUCUUUUAAACAUACUCCUUAAUAAUUAAUGAAUUAAAAAGGAAAUUAUAAUAGAAGUUAUAAAAUAUUUAGGACUCAAAGAUAUGAAUGUACUGUAUACUAAAAUAUACAAGCUAUAGUUAAAGGGUUAGAGCUAAAUUUAUAGCCUUAAAACCACUUAACUGAAAAAUACACAUUAAAAAAAUCAAACUUCGAACUUGGAGAAAAUUAAAUAACAAUACAGACAGCUUGAGGAAAAUGAAGAAAAGAAAUCAAAAGAAGAAAUUAAUGAAAUAGGAAGCAACCAACAAUUCCAAAUGCUGAUUCUUAAAGAUUUAAUUUUAAAACUAGUAAAAUAAAUGGCAUCUAGCACGACUGAGAAGAAAAGAGAAAAAGUAAAGACAAUAUGCAGUGUUCAAACUCAUGAUGUCUUACUCAUUGUGUCCUUAACUAUAUUAUGUCGACUCUCAGAAAAUACCAUGGAUGACUUUAGGACAGUAAAUGCAACAGUUAGGCAAAAAUGUGAAAAAGAAUAAUUUUCUAGAAAAAUUUUAACCAAAAUAAAAUCAAGAAAAUUCACAUAGCCUAUAUUCAUUCAAGAAACUGAAAUAGUGAUCAAAAAUCCUUCUUUCCCCUUCUUUUCUCUACUAAGACAUUUAUGCCUAGAAAAUAUACAGGAAAGUCUUACCAUACCAUAUAAAAUAGGUUACCCCAAUAUUAUAUAACCUAUUUUAGAAAAUAAAAAAAGAGAUAUCUAGGCAAUUUAUUUUAUGAGACUAAUAUGAAAUAUGGACAUGGGUAAUCUAGAAAAUUUUAAGGGAAAUUAUAGUCCCAAAGAACACAGAUGAAAAUAUCCUAAGUAAAUGAAAAAUUUUUUCCAGUGUAUAUUAGUAUAAUUCUCCAUAUUAAAAUAUUAGAAGGGAACUGGGGUUGUGGCUCAGCGAUAGAGCUCCCGCCUUGCACAUGCAAGGCCCUGGGUUCGAUCCUCAGCACCACAUAAAAAUAAAUAAAUAAAUAAAUAAAUAAAUCGAGUUUUAAAAAUAAAAAAAUAAAUAAAUAAAGUAUUAUAAGAUUAAAGGGAGAAAAAACUGCAUAGCUGUUUAAUAGAUGAUACUUAAAACUAUUGAUAAGGUUUUGUAAUUAAAAAUAAAAGGCCUUUUAAACAAAAUAGAAUUUUUUUCAACUAAUAAAGAAAAUAUAACAAAAACCUAGAGUGAACAGUCAUAUUUAAAUAUAAACUUUAGAAGCCUUCCCACUAAUAUCAGAAUGUCUGCUAACCCAGUUUGUAUUAAACAGUUUGCUAGAGAAGUUAGGCACUGGAAUAACACAAGGAAAAGAAAUUAGGAGUUAGAAGAGAUAAGAUCUAUAAUGAGAAUAACCCAUCUGUGUUUUGCAGGCAAUUCCUAUGAAAUUAUGGCCUACUCUUCCAACUCAAGAGUUGAAUGCAAACUUAACAUUUAAAAAGGUCAAAUUCAAUUGUAGUCAAUGGUGUCUCUAUCUCAUUUAGGUUCGCUAACUAGUAAUAAUAAACAGUGGUCUUCUAGAAUGCUGGAAGAACUUCCUUUUCAUCUAGCAAUUAUGUUCAUGUAUUAUAAAAUUAAACCAAUUAAGUUACUUUCAUCAUCAACAAGUAGCUAUGGAUUUUAAGAGUUUCUGUUAAGAAAAAAUAUAUUCUAUACCAACUGACUCUUAGUUCUGAUUACUUUUUUUUUUUUAAGAAUAUCAAUGGUUGUGGAUGGACACAAUAUCUUUAUUCAUUUAUUUAUUUUUAUGUAGUGCUGAGGAUCGAACAAGUGCUCUACCACGGAACUAUAGCCCCAGCCCUCAAUGGUCAUUCUUUUUUUUUAGAGAGAGAGAGAAUUUUAAUAUCCAUUUUUCAGUUUUCGGCGGACACAACAUCUUUGUAUGUGGUGCUGAGGAUCGAACCCGGGCCGCACGCAUGCCAGGCAAGCACACCACCACCUGAGCCACAUCCCCAGCCCCUCUAAUUACUUUUUUAGGCAAAAAUCGAGCAAAGUAAACAUGGUAUGAAAAAAAAAUAGAUGGAAGAAUUGUGUGUGUAUGAUAGUAAGAUCCCUUAAACUUGUUUUCCGAUUUAGGGUUGCUGUAGUCUAAAUUUAAAUCACAUUUUGGAUCCUGUCCAAGGGCUUUGAAGUACAAACUCAUCAGCCAAACUUAAUCCUAGCUUUAAAGCCCAAGGUAAUGUUGCAGACCCAUGGUGUACUUUAGUCAUAGGCAUUAUUUACUGGUAACCUGACAGGGUGGGUGGCAUGUACUCUUCUGUGCCACUCACCCCCCUACCUCUCAACAAUCCUAUUUUAUGAUGAGUGUUCCCAUUUUAUGGUUUGUUUAUCUUUACUCUUCUCUUAGGAAACUAGGUGGGGUUUUUGUUUGUUUGUUUCUGAAUGGAUUGAAAAAUAAUUGGGGAAAAGAAGCCACAGAAAGUUUAGAGAUAUUUCUGUUUGGGAAUAAAAAUUCACAUUCUAGUUAAAUUGUCUUUGUGUUAUUUUUACGUUGUUUAUAUAUUUAAAUGGUUUGGGUUUUCUCACAAAUCCUUCAUUGUCCAAAACAUGGCUUUCAUAAAAUCUUUAGCAUUCUCUUCUAUCCUGUAUAUUCUAGUUCUGUUAUUUUUCUCUUCCAGCUCUUUGAUGAGAGACUAUAGAGGCUAAUACUUUGAAGAGUGUUCUGGACUAACUUACUAGACAGGCCAUGAUCUCACCUGAACUCAAUUUCAGUGUGACAACUUGAUAGGACAGGACAGGUGGCUAUUCUGCUG
RNAcentral lists this long non-coding RNA (3938 nucleotides) under Marmota monax (woodchuck). The record is from RNAcentral. Lineage: Eukaryota; Metazoa; Chordata; Mammalia; Rodentia; Sciuridae.